Paramisgurnus dabryanus is the source of this 1112-nucleotide non-coding RNA. Lineage: Eukaryota; Metazoa; Chordata; Actinopteri; Cypriniformes; Cobitidae. The record is from RefSeq and is a predicted model, not a curated record.
UUUGGUCCGAUUUUGGCUGACAAAUGGCAUAUUUUCCACAUAUUGGCUUUCACAUUUCACGUUUGUUUUAAUAAAAAUAUAUUAAUUUAACAAUUGAUAUGCAUAUAAUUGUUUCUAUUUAAUGUUUUGAUAAUUGUUUUUAGUUUUCCUGAUUAAUGGUAGCCUAUGUCAAUAAGUGAAAAGUAGUGUGAGGAAAAGCUUAGAAACUUUUCCCUAAUAAAAUAACUGAAGGGGAGAAGCAUAUUUUAAUGUUAAGAAUAGGUUUGUAGAGGCAUAAAGUGCCAUUAGCCUAUUGAAUGUAAGUAUCUGGGCUAUUAAGUUUAUACUGAAAUAUUUUCUAUGUAUGUAAUAUUUCAACAAACACAUAUUGUAUUAAUUAAUGGUCAAAUACUAAAUUGAGAUUUUAUAAAAAAAUUUAAUAAGCUGUAAAGCUUGUCAAUUUGUUUACUUUAUUACAACUACAAUUUUCAGCCCUUUUCCAGAAUUUGAACUAAUUUGAUCAUAAAGAUUGAUCUAUUUAUAAUUUAUCGAUUACAAUUUUUAGACAAUUAAAGGCAGCUGGUUAAAGGAACUUUUAUUUUGGAAAAAGAACUGCUGCUGUUUCAAGACAUGCGCACUAGCUGCGACAUCUAGUGACGACAUUUACCGGGCUUUAACGGUUGUUGCUGCAUGAAGUCUGCUGCAAUUUCUCUGAGAUUUCUCAAGAUCAUCAGUUUGGACAGAAUUCAUUUGAAGAAUUAAUAGCACUAGCAGGUUCCAAUAAAGGCUGGAACAGAACAGACAGAAAAGAAAAAGUACUGUUCGUGCACCAGAUGGUGAAGUAGAAAAGUUCAUAAAAACUUCUGCAGCUUGCAUCUGACAGAGAUGCAAAAAGAAGAAGAGAGCGGGCCUGAAAACAAGCAAAUUCAAGGUUGUCAAUUCAGCAGAAAAGUUUGCUGUUUUCGCUGUUUACAGACAGGAGGUAAGCGCAUGUGAACACGCAGAUGACCUAUGGUGUCUGCGUAAGGGCUGGGCAAAAAAAUCGAUUUUCCGAUUAAUCGUUUUUUAAAACGUGGUCUAAUAAAAAUCGAUUCUCAAAGAGCAGAAUAGAUUUUUUUCUUUCAUAUUUAUUU